RNAcentral lists this long non-coding RNA (427 nucleotides) under Musa acuminata (dwarf banana). RNAcentral's name for it is "long non-coding RNA (MACU_LNC009710)". The record is from RNAcentral. Lineage: Eukaryota; Viridiplantae; Streptophyta; Magnoliopsida; Zingiberales; Musaceae.
CCACUUAGCGCUGCAAAGCCUUAUCUUUUCUAUUACCCUUACUCGACUUGAAGACGAACUCCCUUAACAGACAGAGACAGAGAACCUAGCUCGAACGUUACUCACUCCCUAACAGAGACCCGAGGAAGUACACCUCACCUAGCCUCAAAGCAAGUACUUUCUUCUUUAAGAACUAUGGAUUGGAUUGGAUUCUUAAGUCAACUCACAACUCCUCUUCUCUUUCUACAAAUACAGAUCUGGGAUGCUACUAUACCGGCUUGGCACAGCUUCCUAGCCCGCCUGUCGAACAUCCGCUUGGCCCCUUGCCUAGGUACUCCAAAUAUCUUUCUUCCCUUGCCCGCCUACCUCUCUUGCUCCCGUUAGUGCUUCCUUGCUAGUUUCACACAGGACCCGGCACCAGUGGAUCUGAAGUAAACAAAGAAUUCUA